RNAcentral lists this transfer RNA (78 nucleotides) under Acidobacteriota bacterium. Its description in RNAcentral is "tRNA-Arg". It matches the Rfam family "tRNA". Rfam says of the family: Transfer RNA (tRNA) molecules are approximately 80 nucleotides in length. Their secondary structure includes four short double-helical elements and three loops (D, anti-codon, and T loops). Further hydrogen bonds mediate the characteristic L-shaped molecular structure. tRNAs have two regions of fundamental functional importance: the anti-codon, which is responsible for specific mRNA codon recognition, and the 3' end, to which the tRNAs corresponding amino acid is attached (by aminoacyl-tRNA synthetases). tRNAs cope with the degeneracy of the genetic code in two manners: having more than one tRNA (with a specific anti-codon) for a particular amino acid; and 'wobble' base-pairing, i.e. permitting non-standard base-pairing at the 3rd anti-codon position. The record is from RNAcentral. RNAcentral also lists the same sequence under 3 other names. Lineage: Bacteria; Pseudomonadati; Acidobacteriota.
GCGCCCGUAGCUCAGUCCGGAUAGAGCGUUAGCCUCCGGAGCUAAAGGUCCCGCGUUCGAAUCGCGGCGGGCGCACCA